Molecule: ribosomal RNA, 400 nt
Filed under: uncultured bacterium
Lineage: Bacteria
Description: bacterial SSU rRNA
Rfam family: Bacterial small subunit ribosomal RNA
Source: RNAcentral
GAGCGGAUGUAGCAAUACAUCAGCGGCAGACGGGUGAGUAACGCGUGGGAACGUACCUUUUGGUUCGGAACAACCCCAGGGAAACUUGGGCUAAUACCGGAUAAGCCCUAACGGGGAAAGAUUUAUCGCCGAAAGAUCGGCCCGCGUCUGAUUAGCUAGUUGGUGAGGUAAUGGCUCACCAAGGCGACGAUCAGUAGCUGGUCUGAGAGGAUGAUCAGCCACAUUGGGACUGAGACACGGCCCAAACUCCUACGGGAGGCAGCAGUGGGGAAUAUUGGACAAUGGGCGCAAGCCUGAUCCAGCCAUGCCGCGUGAGUGAUGAAGGCCCUAGGGUUGUAAAGCUCUUUUGUGCGGGAAGAUAAUGACGGUACCGCAAGAAUAAGCCCCGGCUAACUUCGUG